This is a non-coding RNA of Pimephales promelas (fathead minnow), 518 nucleotides long. The record is from RefSeq and is a predicted model, not a curated record. NCBI's taxonomy places the organism in Eukaryota, Metazoa, Chordata, Actinopteri, Cypriniformes, Leuciscidae.
UUAACGCAGUGGUUUUUCAUUCACCACGAGGGAGACCUUGAGGACCAGAUAGCACCCCAAAUACCCGCGUUAUUUGGGGUUCCUCUGGCGACGUGGGCGGUGCGUGUCGUCGGUUGACGAGGGCGAGCGAGAGCGAGGCCUGCUACAGGAUUCCGGAAUUGCUGUAUUGGUACACGUGAAAUUGAGCCGAGCGCUCGGUGUUUCUCACACACACCGGAGCAAACGCUGAUGAACAUGGCCACCACUGACCCCGAGCUGUAUCCGAGGAAGAUCCUGCAGUACAUGGAGGGAUUCCUGGUGUCGAAGACGCUGUUCUCUGCCUGUGAGCUGGGAGUGUUUGAGCUUCUGAACGAGUCUGCGAUGUCUGUGUGUCAGCUGUGUGAGGCUCUGAACACCAGUGAGGACGGCACUGAACGCUUGCUGUCUGCGUGUGUCGGCCUGGAGCUUCUCAACGCACACACACACCCUGACGGAACAGGUACUGCACACACACACACACACACACACACACACAGCCU